CACAAAACUGGAAAAUUGCAAUAUCAAUAAAGAUUGUGGCAGAGCCACGGAUACAGAGACAUUUGGAAAAACAGAAAAGUGGGGUGAAAUGAAAUUUUGGGAGGGGGGAUUAAUUUGCUCACAGAGCAUACUAAAUACCUAAAUAUUGCACACAGUUAUUGAAACAUCCAAAAUAGAAAAUUAUCCUUUUGUGUAGUAAAUCAAACAGAUUCAAUAUGACUGCUGAGAUUCUCUUUCCUUCAACCUUUUCACUUGGCAAGCUCAUUGCGGAUUUGUUUGGCUGCAGCAACCAUGUUGAGGAGGGCAGGCUUAACCUCUGUGUACUUACGGGUUUUUAGCCCACAGUCAGGGUUGACCCACAAAACGUUCUUCUCAAGGACAGCAAGCAUCUUGUUGAUCCUGUCGGCGAUCUCGUCGGUUGGUGGGAUUCUUGGGGAGUGGAUGUCAUACACACCAGGGCCAAUUCCAGCACCAUAAACAACUCCUUCACGGAAGACUGAUAGAAGCUUUUCGUCGGAACGGGAGUUCUCAAUUGUGAUAACAUCAGCAUCCAUAUUAAUGAUGGAAUGAAUGAUGUCGUUGAAGUUGGAGUAGCACAUGUGAGUGUGGAUCUGUCAAUUUGAAAUUUUAUUAUAACAUGUAGGCAAAUAGAGAAGGUGAAAAAUUGUAACACAGUCACUUGUGAGCCAAACAUACCUGAGUGGAGUCCUGAACACCGACAUUGGUGAUUCUGAAGGAGUGGACAGCCCAGUCCAAGUAGUGAGCGUGCUCAGACUUCCUCAGUGGUAGUCCCUCUCUCAAAGCAGCCUCAUCAAUUUGGAUGACACCAAUACCACCUUUCUCAAGGUCUUCAACUUCAUCCUUAAUAGCCAAAGCAAUCUGGUAGCAGGUCUCAGAUCUGCAAAUAGAUUCACAUACACAGUUAGAAAUGCCAAAUAUAUGAUAUGAAUGCUGAUCAUCUCUUUAUUUAGCUCUGUAUGUUGAACUUUUCCUGUGAUGUUAUAAGGGGGGUCGAGUUUAUACCUAGGCUGGUCAACUCUAACGAAGGACCAGUUGAGAAUGGUGACAGGGCCAGUAAGCAUUCCCUUCAUUGGGCGCUUGGUAAAGCUCUGAGCAAGAGCUGACCAGAAGACAGUCAUUGCCUUUGGGCGGCUCACAUCACCAUAGAUGAUUGGUGGCUUGACACAACGAGAUCCAUAGGAUUGCACCCAUCCAUUAGCAGUAAAGGCGAAGCCUGACAACUGCUCGCCGAAGUACUCAACCAUAUCAUUUCUCUGCAGAAAGAAAAAAAAAAAAAAAAAAAAAAAGAGGAUCCACAAUUAGUUGGAAGUACAAUUGGGAAUCGGCAAUCUAACACCAAGGGCAUAAAAUAUGGGAAGAGCAGUUUCUCUUCAAAACAGAAGAGGCGGAGAAAAUAUUAAUAAAAUUAAAUAAAUCCGGGUGUAAUAAAGCUAUCUUUGCUCAAAUUGACUAAAAGAAGGUCAUAAGAGAUGAUUAAAGCUGACCUCGGGCUCUCCGUGUACUAGGACAUCAAUAUCAAGCUCUUCUUGAAGCUCAACAACUGAGCGGAUUUCCUCCUUAAUUGCCUUAAUGUACUCUUCCUCGGAGAUCCUGAAUAAAACAAGAGUCAAUAAAGGAAGACACAAUGUCAAAUAAACAAGGCAGAGAUCAACAAUCGUAGCAUUAUCUUACUUCUUAGCCUUGAAUUCACGGCGAACCCUCCUUAGUUCCACGGUCUGGGGGAAUGAUCCAAUGGUGGUGGUUGGGAGGAUUGGAAGAUUAAGCUUCUUUUGUUGAGCAUCCAACCUGGCACUGACGUUGGUAGCACGGCGAUGGUCUGAACCCUUCAAUGCAGCAGCCUGAAAGAUGAAUAGAAAGGGUAUAAUUAAUAUCUCCGCAGAUCCAAAUAAACAAAACGAGUGUUAGAACAGAGGGAAUAAAAAAUAAGCACUCACAGCCUUCUGAACAGCCUCAUUAGUCACUCUUGGAGAGGACUUCCUUGAAGCCUGAGCUGCAGAACUUGCAGAGAAGAUGGCCUGAAAAUGAAACCAUAAAAACAUUAACUGAGUGAUUAUGUGGUGAAAUAAACAGAAAUUUGCAUUUCUUUAGAACCUUUAAUCAUAAAGGUUAAAAAGUCACAAAAAAUAAAAUAUAUAUAUUGACACUUCCAUAUACUGUUUACCACUGCUAACAAUUGUCUGAUGUUUCUAUUGAAACUUGUUAAUACUAUUAUAGGCAACCAAUACUUGAAUUUACUUAAUUCUGAUUCUAGCAAUUAUAGUGCAAUUAUAUUUUUUUUAUUAAAUAGAAUACCACAAUGUCUGCAGAUUCUAGCAAUUAUAGUGCAAUUAUAUUUUUUUUAUUAAAUAGAAUACCACAAUGUCUGCAGGUAAGAAACACAAUCAAAUUAUGUUGACUAAAUACGUUGUCAGAUGUGAGAUGAAAUAAAAGAAAUGGGCAUUACCUCAUCCUUGUUGCCUGCAAGUGCAUUGGCCAAUGCAUUUACUUCAACAACUUUUUGGGCAGCAAAAGCUAACCAUGACUUAAUUUCAUCAUCCAACUUGGUCUCGUUAACGAGAUCCACAGCAGUGUGAAGAAGUGAGCAAGAAGUGGACACAACAAUUCUCUCUGCAUAUAGUUUGAAAAUCAGAUGCAUCAAGUGACAACGAUUACUUCAAAGACUCUUAGAUAUUCCUAUGUAAUGAAUGUUUAAUAAAUACCUUUGCCCACAAUGCCGGCAAGAGCCUCUAAUGUACUGAGAGAAGCCUCAAGAUCAUUUGCCCAGAUGUUCCUUCCAUCAACGACUCCAGCAAAGAUCCAUUUUCCACUGGGAAAACCAGCCUUGAUCAGAUCAAGAGUCUUGGUUCCACGGACUAAAUCAAAUCCAUAAGCGGCGACACCACUCAAAGAUGUGAGGGUCUUGUAUGCCUCAGCGGGAAUAUCAGCAAAGUAGGUCUCAACAAGAACAUGGAGACCUUCAAAAGAAGGUGUAAGUGCUGCAUAUGCAUCAGUAAAUGCUUGUAACUUGUGAGCUUCAAGAUCCAGGACAAGUGUGGGUUCAUCAAAUUGAAUAAACUGAGCACCAGCUGCCUUGAGAUCAGCAAUAACCUCCCUGCAUUAGUAGUUAAAAGCAAGUUAGAAAAAUAAAAUGACAUUAAUACAUGCUGAGAAAACAAUAAUCCCCCAAAACAAUUUAAACUUCUUACUUGUAGACGGCAAGGACCUUGGGAAGCAAAGAUAGGAGAUCAAAGGAUUUGUCAACUCCCUUGGCGGCUUUGGAGAGCAACAAGUAUGAAACAGGGCCAACAAGAACGGGAACAGUGUCUACUCCAAGCUGUAAGACAAAUCAAAAUAUUCAACAACAAUAUCUACAACACAUAAAAAUGCUAAAAAAAAUUACUUCUGCUAUAAUAGACCACACAGGUGAACAUAACAAGAACCAUACAAAAAAGGACAAACUAACAAUCAUUUCUUAUUUAGCAACCCAUCACCCAAAGAUCUUUCAACUCACCCAAAAACAACAACAAAAACCAAGCCUUAUUCCACUAAGUGAAGCUAGCUACAUGGAUCAAAUUACAUCAUAAUGUUCAAACUCGAUCCCAGAUCUAAUUAAAAAUGUCACACCCUCCUAAUUAAAAACUCGAACCUAGAUCUAGUUAAAAAUAUCACACACUUCUAAUUAAAAACUCGAACCCAACAAUACUUCCCAAUGACAUUAAACAUUAAGCCAGGCUAACAAAGCUAACAUUUUUUCCUGCAUAAGCAAAAACAAAAAGGAAAAAAACACAUACAGCCUUGGCUUCCUUGUAUUCUUCAACAGCCUUGUGAGAAGAGUACACAAAGUUCACCUCAGGACCCAAUUCUGGGACAAUAAAGUGGCUGCAUCAACACAAACAAAACAAACAGUUCAGUUACCAGAUCAAUACAACCCAGAGUCACAAACUCAUCAAACAAUACAAGAGACCAUUGCAUCGCAGUCACUUACUAGUUGGUGUCGAACCACUUGGUCAUCUCCAUAGCAGGGACGGUGGCAUUACCUCUAGCCAUUGAAAAGUAAGUAUCGAAUCCAAUCUCACCACCAGUCCAUCCAUACCUGGGUGGAACGGCCCCGAGAGUGGCGGUAGUAUCAAGUACAUGAUCAUAGUAAGUAAAAGUGUUGCUUGGGAUAUACUUGAUCCCAACAUCAGACAUCUGUUUCCAGAUGGAUGCUCUUAGAUCAGCAGAAACCUUCUUCAAAUCCUCGGCACUGCUCUUUUUGUCCCAGAAUGAUUCCAAAGCAAAUUUCAACUCUCUCUUGGGUCCCAUACGAGGGUAUCCAACAAUGUGAGAAGCCAUUUUUUCUGUAUAAAUCAAAUCAAAUCAAAUCAAAAUUCCAACAACAAUAACAACAAAAUCAUAAUACUGAUAUCAUUUUUAUUUUUUUGUUGAAAACUCGGUAUCAGACCUAAGGACCGACUAAUCUAGUGGAUCGCAAACAAAUCCCACUGAUAAAACUGAUAAUAUUCUUAUGUUAAAAUUAUUACAAGAUGCACAUUUCAAGCUAGUUAACUCUUAAAAUACUAAUUGUAGUGAAAUAGAGGAUUACGGAUAAGCAACUAGGUUCGUUAAAAUGUACUCGAUCUUGAAAAUAGAGUGUGAAUUUAACGAAAAUGAAGGUUUUAGAACAGUGAUUUGAUGAUUAAACAAGAUUUACUAGUAAAACUAAUUGAAUUGGAGUCGAUUGGAGUAUGGAUUAGUGAUUAAACUAAGUGAGUUCUGAUUAGCAUGAUUAUGUUCAAAAUUGUUGGAUCUAAGUGUAAAUUAUCGAAAAUUAUGAAUUUGGAAUAACGAUUUGAUGAACUACCAUGUUUUCAGAUUCAGAUCUAAUGGAUCUACACGUUAUGAAACAGAUCUAGAACUAAGAGUGUUCUUGUUAGGUUUAGCGGUGGAUCUAGAGUAGAAAAUUAAGUUGAAUUGAAGUAAUUAAGUGUCAAUUAUUUAUUAUGAUUAUGAUUAUUAUGGUGAUUACGGGGGGAAGGAAAAUGGGGACACGGAAAAGGGAAGGAAGUAAAAGAGGGAGAAAGAAGAGAGUCUCAUACGAACCUUGCGGUGUUAGUGUAGAGGAGACUAGUGUUCUCUGUGAAUCUUCUUCGCUUCUUGUUAAGGAGUAGC
This 5151-nucleotide long non-coding RNA is filed under the name Medicago truncatula (barrel medic). RNAcentral's name for it is "lncRNA gene42122". The record is from RNAcentral. Lineage: Eukaryota; Viridiplantae; Streptophyta; Magnoliopsida; Fabales; Fabaceae.